RNAcentral lists this long non-coding RNA (1005 nucleotides) under Bos indicus x Bos taurus (hybrid cattle). Its description in RNAcentral is "lncRNA (ENSBIXG00005030360.1)". Lineage: Eukaryota; Metazoa; Chordata; Mammalia; Artiodactyla; Bovidae. The record is from RNAcentral.
CUUGCAACAAGGAAAGAACAUGGAGAGCCCCAGACCCAGAAACCUGCCUCACUUCCUCCAGGGUGAACAUCAACUGAACUUCUAGCUAUUCUCCACAUGGCCCCAUGCUUUCCAAUCCCUCCAUGCUUUUGUUUAUGCCAUUCUUGCUGCCUGAAUUGUCUCCUCUACCAUCUCCAUGAAACCAACUUACAUGACAUCUCUUCUAUGACACCUUUAGAAAUACCUCAAGUUAGGUAUGUCUCUCUACUGCUCUCAUCAUAGAAUCAAAUAAUUGUUUUCUCCAGGCUGGAUUGAAAAGAAUGCUAAUGGACACCUGUUUCCCUACUGUCUCCUCUUCCAGGGAGUCCUGCACACUACUGCUGGAUAAAGCCAUACAUUCUUCCUUCCAUUUGCACUUUUCUCCGUUAGAGAAACUCCAGCAUCCUUGCUUAAAAUACGUGCCCUCCAGCUCUGCAGUCCAGGGAUCCCAUGGACCCAAAAUUGUACUCUACCAUUUACUACACCAGGACAUGGCGGGGCUGCUUCCUUCCCUGAAUUGCCAGCAGAUCACAGAUCAGAUCAGUCGCUCAGUCGUGUCCGACUCUUUCCGACCCAAUGAAUCGCAGCACGCCAGGCCUCCCUGUCCAUCACCAACUCCCGGAGUUCACUCUGACUCACGUCCAUCGAGUAAGUGAUGCCAUCCAGCCAUCUCAUCCUCUGUCGUCCCCUUCUCCUCCUGCCCCCAAUCCCUCCCAGCAUCAGAGUCUUUUCCAAUGAGUCAACUCUUCGCAUGAGGUGGCCAAAGUACUGGAGUUUCAGCUUCAGCAUCAUUCCUUCCAAAGAAAUCCCAGGGCUGAUCUCCUUUAGAAUGGACUGGUUGGAUCUCCUUGCAGUCCAAGGGACUCUCAAGAGUCUUCUCCAACACCACAGUUCAAAAGCAUCAAUUCUUCAGCGCUCAACCUUCUUCACAGUCCAACUCUCACAUCCAUACAUGACCACAAGAAAAAUCAUAGCCUUGACUAGAUG